RNAcentral lists this unclassified non-coding RNA (369 nucleotides) under Hevea brasiliensis (rubber tree). The record is from RNAcentral. Lineage: Eukaryota; Viridiplantae; Streptophyta; Magnoliopsida; Malpighiales; Euphorbiaceae.
GCAGACCUAGCACAAAGAACUUCACAUAAAAUGGUCACCAAUGGAGGAAGAAGAAGGUUGGUGAAACUGUUUAAGACACUCACCAAAAGGUGAAGAUGUUUUUGAAAGUCUUGAGCACCUUUGAAUGUUGCUAAACCCACAAAAGAUUCAAGUGUGACUAUUUUUUGACUUGGAGCUGUUGGCCUUAUUGCUGCAGACGGAGCAAAAAUUGCUAGUGCUUCAAGGAUAAUUUGUGUCGAUUUAAAUGCUAGCUGAUUUCAGUAAGCUAAGAAAUUUUGCGUGAAAAAGUUUGUGAACCCAAAGGAUUAAAGUAAACCAGGUCAUGAGGUAAUUGCUGAGAUGACUGAUUGCAAAUUUGAUCCGAGUGUG